UAGGGAAUCUUCCACAAUGGACGCAAGUCUGAUGGAGCAACGCCGCGUGAGUGAAGAAGGUUUUCGGACCGUAAAGCUCUGUUGCUGGUGAAGAAGGAUAGAGGUAGUAACUGGCCUUUUAUUUGACGGUAAUCAACCAGAAAGUCACGGCUAACUACGUGCCAGCAGCCGCGGUAAUACGUAGGUGGCAAGCGUUGUCCGGAUUUAUUGGGCGUAAAGCGAGCGCAGGCGGAAGAAUAAGUCUGAUGUGAAAGCCCUCGGCUUAACCGAGGAAUUGCAUCGGAAACUGUUUUCUUGAGUGCAGAAGAGGAGAGUAGAACUCCAUGUGUAGCGGUGGAAUGCGUAGAUAUAUGGAAGAAUACCAGUGGCGAAGGCGGCUCUCUGGUCUGCAACUGACGCUGAGGCUCGAAAGCAUGGGUAGCGAACAGGAUUAGAUACCCUGGUAGUCCAUGCCGUAAACGAUGAGUGCUAAGUGUUGGGAGGCUUCCGCCUCUCAGUGCUGCAGCUAACGCAUUAAGCACUCCGCCUGGGGGAGUACGACCGCAAGGUUGAAAC
This 555-nucleotide ribosomal RNA is filed under the name uncultured bacterium. RNAcentral describes it as "partial 16S ribosomal RNA". It matches the Rfam family "Bacterial small subunit ribosomal RNA", at positions 355 to 900 of the family's 1533-position model. The record is from RNAcentral.